Molecule: long non-coding RNA, 491 nt
Organism: Gadus morhua (Atlantic cod)
Lineage: Eukaryota; Metazoa; Chordata; Actinopteri; Gadiformes; Gadidae
Exons: 3
Source: RefSeq, a predicted model, not a curated record
UAAUUAAUAGUAACUAUACCAUUAGUUAAAUAUUAGUAAUAUGUUAGUUAAUGCUAAUAACUGCAUUCACUACCAUACAUUAAAUAACCAUUACUUAAAAUUACAGAGUAAUAAAGUAGUUAUUCUUUAUCACUGAGUGAAGUCGCGGAAAACAGCAGCCUUUAACAGGAGUUUAUACUAGGAGGGGGAACUGGAACAACUGGUUGGUUCACAAUAUCAUACUUGCCUUGUUGUUGUGUCGGACGGUUUGGUGCUGAGCUCUUCAUCACAGCAGGGAGAAGACAAGGUCUCCAGUCUACUAUGGAUGAGGAGAGAGAGGAGGGGGGUCCUACCUCUAAAACCACUCUUUCUGGGGAGCAUGGCCACCAGAGCAAAGCUAAGAGAGUCCAGCAGCAGACAGCAGACUACCCUGGACCCAGCCUUGUCUCCAUGAAGAGUGACAGCUCUACGACACAACCAAUUAGGUUUAAAGAUGGGAAUCAGACUACUGA